ACCUGGCUGGCUCAGUCGGUAGAGAAUGUGACUCUUGAUCACAGGGUUGUAAGUUUGAACCCCACUUUGGGUG
This 73-nucleotide transfer RNA is filed under the name Ursus americanus (American black bear). It matches the Rfam family "tRNA". Rfam says of the family: Transfer RNA (tRNA) molecules are approximately 80 nucleotides in length. Their secondary structure includes four short double-helical elements and three loops (D, anti-codon, and T loops). RNAcentral also lists the same sequence under 1 other name. The record is from Rfam by way of RNAcentral. Lineage: Eukaryota; Metazoa; Chordata; Mammalia; Carnivora; Ursidae.